This 916-nucleotide ribosomal RNA is filed under the name uncultured bacterium. Its description in RNAcentral is "bacterial SSU rRNA". It matches the Rfam family "Bacterial small subunit ribosomal RNA", at positions 33 to 933 of the family's 1533-position model. The record is from RNAcentral.
ACGCUGGCGGCGUGCCUAAUACAUGCAAGUAGAACGCUGAAGGAGGAGCUUGCUCUUCUGGAUGAGUUGCGAACGGGUGAGUAACGCGUAGGUAACCUGCCUGGUAGCGGGGGAUAACUAUUGGAAACGAUAGCUAAUACCGCAUAAUAGUAGAUGUUGCAUGACAUUUACUUAAAAGGUGCAAUUGCAUCACUACCAGAUGGACCUGCGUUGUAUUAGCUAGUUGGUGGGGUAACGGCUCACCAAGGCGACGAUACAUAGCCGACCUGAGAGGGUGAUCGGCCACACUGGGACUGAGGCACGGCCCAGACUCCUACGGGAGGCAGCAGUAGGGAAUCUUCGGCAAUGGACGGAAGUCUGACCGAGCAACGCCGCGUGAGUGAAGAAGGUUUUCGGAUCGUAAAGCUCUGUUGUAAGAGAAGAACGAGUGUGAGAGUGGAAAGUUCACACUGUGACGGUAUCUUACCAGAAAGGGACGGCUAACUACGUGCCAGCAGCCGCGGUAAUACGUAGGUCCCGAGCGUUGUCCGGAUUUAUUGGGCGUAAAGCGAGCGCAGGCGGUUAGAUAAGUCUGAAGUUAAAGGCUGUGGCUUAACCAUAGUACGCUUUGGAAACUGUUUAACUUGAGUGCAAGAGGGGAGAGUGGAAUUCCAUGUGUAGCGGUGAAAUGCGUAGAUAUAUGGAGGAACACCGGUGGCGAAAGCGGCUCUCUGGCUUGUAACUGACGCUGAGGCUCGAAAGCGUGGGGAGCAAACAGGAUUAGAUACCCUGGUAGUCCACGCCGUAAACGAUGAGUGCUAGGUGUUAGACCCUUUCCGGGGUUUAGUGCCGCAGCUAACGCAUUAAGCACUCCGCCUGGGGAGUACGACCGCAAGGUUGAAACUCAAAGGAAUUGACGGGGGCCCGCACAAGCGGU